Small nucleolar RNA from Athene cunicularia (burrowing owl), 133 nucleotides. NCBI's taxonomy places the organism in Eukaryota, Metazoa, Chordata, Aves, Strigiformes, Strigidae. The record is from Ensembl.
AGGUCCAUUCUAAUUCUCUGCAGGUCGGUGCCAGUACCUGCAGGGUUUCGCUUGUGGACCACAUUAAACUGGAAAACUUAAGCACGUAUGAGCUUACUGGUAGUAUGCUCAUGACGUAGUUUUCUGGACAUGU